Molecule: long non-coding RNA, 7800 nt
Filed under: Pectinophora gossypiella (pink bollworm)
Lineage: Eukaryota; Metazoa; Arthropoda; Insecta; Lepidoptera; Gelechiidae
Description: uncharacterized LOC126369742
Source: RNAcentral
GCACGCGAGUGUGCCACAACCAACAUUCCUGUGCUGAUAACUAUUACACUAACUUGUGACAAUUGCUGGAACAAAUAUGAGAUUCAAAAGUAAUUCCGUGCAUGUUCUCAAACGAAUGGAAAGCUUAGAAUGUGUUGAACCACGCUGGCGUAUCGUAAAUUCGACAAGAAAGUAAAAAUCUUUUUAUUCAUCUUUGGACACAGUUGGAAAAGCAGAUACGGGUGAUACUUUAAUGAACGUCUCAGCAAAGCAAGACAACUCGUUGCCAACCGCCCGGUCGGUGCCAACUAAUGGCGGCCGGUAAAAGCCCGCUGUUCUAUUUACGUCAGCAGACGAACGCGACCUGUCUCGCCGCCGCUUUCCCAGUUCUUAUUUUGCAGCUCAUACUCCUUGUUCGUACUUUAUAUUCUAUUCAAGUCAACCAAAGUAAAGAUGCAAGUGCGUAACGGCUUCUGUAGUCGUAGUGGUUGAGCGUUGGGCUCACGAUGCGGAGGUCCCAGGUUCGAAUCCCGGUAGGAAAAUAUCACAAAAUUCACUGUGAUCUCUAGUUAGGUUAGGAAAUUACAGGCUAGUCACCUGAUCGUCAGGAAAUAAGACGAUCCAUUAAGCCGUUGGUCCCGUUACUACUUACAGAUGUUACAUGAGCCAUGUCAGGGUCCUUUGGCAGCUUAAUAAUAUCCCUGACAUCUGGGUUGAUGAGGUUGGUGAUGCAACUCAUAACCCACACGAUAGAAGAAGAAUAUUCAAUGCAAGUAAAUAAAAAAAAGUAGCUCGGUUAAAGUUGAGGAAUUUCUUGCGGCGCACCUUUUUUCCUCCGUUCUGAUGCGGUAAUACAUUCCUACCUAUAGUAGUGACAGAAUUGUUUGAUAGAACCAAAUACAGAAUUGUUGUUCUCUUAUUUCAAAAUAAACUUUACGAUUACCACUGUACUAAAAAAAAAGACUAUAUUACACGUACCCUAGCGACUGUUCGUGUUGUACAUUGAUGGCUAUUAAUAGUUUGUCCUUUUUUUACCCACGACGGAACGGAGCAGCGUAUAGGGUAGGGUAUGUGCGUUUAGGGUGAGAGAUGUUUGUUUGUCUGUGCGUUUGUGCAAAAUAAUGUUACCACCUAUCUUCUAAACUAAUGAUCCGAUUUUGAUGCGGUUUUCAAUAACGGGUUUGUGUUUGAUGAGUUCAUGUUAUAAGAUAGGUAUCAUGGCUGUAACUCACUAGGGGGCUCCACAAUAUUAGUACAAAACAAUUCUAUGCAGCUUAAAGUACAACAUGAGACUAAAUAUAUAAAAUAAAAAUACUAUAAUUUUCAUGAAUAUUCUUCACAAAAUUCCGCUUGAUAUCUCUGAUAAUCAUGGUCUGAAUCACCCCUAAAGUUUUCGUUACUGUGUCACUAAUACCUUAUUUACGGUCACGAGUACUAAUAUGUAUACACUUUGAAACCAUGUCACAUUAACUUUUUUGACAAAUUAACCCAUAAGUCUCAUUAAAUGUCAAAUAAGAGAGUGCGACAGGGUUCUAAAGUGGGUACAUGAUAUUGCUCAUGACUGUAGAUACCCUAACUAUUGAUAGAAACUGUGUCGUCUGUACUACUUUAAGAAAGAAACAAAGUAACUUCAUCUAAUAAUGUUAAAUGUUCCUUUUUAUUUCAUUGCACUGGUAAGAUUACUCUUUUUAAAGCGCUGCGGAGAAUACAAGUUAUAUUAUUCAACGUAAUCGUAAAGGUAGGAGUAUUUUAAUACGAUUCCUUUCAAUGUUACGUUAAUAGAGAUACGUGUUUUAAUCUUAGAUGUAUCUUUGGCUGCGACGAAGAGAAAUUCCUCAGUGAAGAAGAUCUCCCAAAAAACCAGCGCCGUGGCAGCGCAUAAUCAGGCAGAGGGUUUAAUUUAUUAUUUAUUAAUCAUAACCUGAUGACUAUAUCCCAAUUAGAGUAGUCAUAGGUACAUCCGUCACAAGAUUAACUAAGUACCCAAACCACACCCUGUCAUUUCAUACAAAAAACCUCAUUUAACACAGACACUUUGACGUUAUCAUACACGCGCAUCUGUGUGUGUGACGUCUGACGCCUAUACGAUUGAUGACUAAAGUAAGACAGAAGGGGGUGAGGUUAACCUAGCUCAGCCGCUAGUGGGGAGCGGAGAGUUGCCGUUCUAUACGUAGUAUUCAUUCCUUAUUCUAUGGCUAAACUAUAGGUACCUACUACGUUACCAUAACCUACUUAUCUAUUAUUAAUUUAUAUCUGUUCACUAUGUAACACACCGAUUUUUACAACGCAUCUAAUCUAAAAAGCAACUGUAAAUAAAACAAACAUACGCAAACACACUCGUAAUCGCGACACCGCAACCAGCUAAUGCAUAAAACCUCAUGCAACUCGCUAACAAAAUCUGUCCCGACCGCGAUGCAGUUACUUAAUACAAUUUAUGCAAUUCCAGCCGACACCUACAGUGAAAAACCGCGAAAGAGCAGCUCGAGGCUCGCGUGCUACAACCACCGUAACUCUAGAUAAAUGUUUAAUGGACACAUCGCGUUACUCCGGAUACAUUAAAAGCUAGAACGUUUAAAAUUUUCCACGUUUACAUUUGGUUGCGUUUUGUGCAGAUAAUAAUGCAGUAACUCGUUUUGUUGGCCUUUUAGCGGCGCCUCGUGGCCAUUUUAGACUAGUUACUCUUGUUCAACGAUAUUUACGUGUUGUCGACACUAAAUUCGCACGGUAAUGUGUGCCAAUAUUUUAAGAUAACGGCCAUUUUGGAACUGAAAACAAACUUGUGUUGCCAUUUUUCAAAUAGGUAACCGUAUCGAUAAGUUCGUAGUAGGUAAAUAAAAAUACUUAUUUACUCACUGAAUACACUACAAAAUUGAACGUCGAAUGAAAUUUAUAAUUGAUUCGGAACAAAGACGAUAAAUUGCAUUGAGUUCCACGUGUACCAAGUUUUUUAUUAUUUAGUAAAAAUACUUACAAUUUUUCUUUUUAAGUAGGAACUUGCUUUUGUUACAUCCUAGUCUCCAGUAUUUGAUCUCAUUGUUGUAAGUUAUACAGAUGUUGUAUGUAAGUAUAGCAGUUAAGACCGUACGUCUCUGUUGUUACAGUAAUGUAAGUUAUAUGCUAAUGCACUAUAAAAAAAAUGUACUACCUAUACUUAUACAAGCAGAAUUAUUUUUUAUUCAUCCUUAAUACAUUCAUUUCACCAUAUUAAUGGCAUACUUAUUUCUUUUAUACAUAAUUAACGUUGUACCGGGUGAGAGCCUUCAGUGCUCCCCAUUUGUCCGGCCGAGUAGUUAAUACCAUCUGCGGCAAAUCUACAAUAAGUCUCGUCAAAGAUAUAUAUAUAUACAUAAUAUAUAUAAACAAAUUACGGUUUAUAAAUUUUCACAAAACUAUGCAUUGUAAAAUGUGAAACAUUCAACUGAAUCGAAUUCAUACUGAUAGUAUAACUUCGAAAGUAUGUACCUGUCUGUCUUUUUGUUACCUUUUCACGCUUAAACCAGUAGACGGAUUCAAAUGGAAUUUUGUUUGAAAAUAGUCUAAGACCCAGAAAACAACGUAAUAAUAGUUUGUCUCGCCAACAUCAUACCUUAAAGGGAUGAAAGGGGUUGAAAAGGAACUAAAAAUACGCGUGAACAGGCAGAGCUAUUAGAAAUAAAUGUAAACUGACAAACAUUUAAUUCAUUAUUACAAGCCAGAAUGCGAUCGCAUCACGGGAAACUGCAAUCAGAACAUUACUAACAAAAUGAACCCGAUAACAAAAUAAUGCAAUAAUACAUUGCAAUUUGCAAUUACGCCAAACACAUAAUUUGGUAAAUAACUUCAUUAUGUAAAAUUACAGAUGUUUAAAUGUUAAUUGUAAUUAAUAAAACACCUCGAAUGCCAUUACCAACCAUACAUUUUACAAUUCGAUUAAUUGCGCUCAAAUAGGCUGGCUUGUUUUCUCAAGUUUUGUACCUCAGCGCAUACCAUUUGUCCGGCCAUUUGCGGCACAUCUACAAUAAGUCAAUUCGAUUACAAAUCAAGUCGAAAAAGUCUGGCUAGAACGGGAUUUGAACCCGUACUCUUGUCAAGGCGCGUCGAACGUGGUAAUUAUUAGUGAUGUUCCGAAUAUCCGUAUCCGUAUCCGUAUCCGCGGAUAUCCGAGAUAAAAGAAAAAUCCGUAUCCGUGUCCGUUACUUUUCACGCAGAUCUUUUACGCAUCUUUUUCAGGUGAUUAAGUAGAAUUAUUAAAUAAAAAACUAUAAAAUUCCAUUCAGAUUGUUAUUAUUUCUUAAAAUCAAAUAUUUGGCACCUUUAUAUUGCAAACAUUUAGAUAGAUAGAUCUUUAUAAUGAAAGCAAGAUAAAAUAUCACUUUUAUAACAAUGAAAUAACUAAAACUUUAAUCUUUUUAUUGACACCAAUCGAAUGAUAUCGAAUAAGAAAAUAAAGAUCCGUAUCCGUAUCCGUAUCCGCGGAUCUUUACACUAAAUAUCCGUAUUCAGAUCCGUAUCCGCGGAUAUACAUUUUUAACGAUCCGGCACAUCACUAGUAAUUAUCAGACUGUGUUUUCUCUUUGUGAGUUAAAUACAUUUUGUUUUUAUAACGGGUGAGUACCCGUGAUUAAGCUUGGGGAAACUACCCGCAGCUCUUGUCAAGCCGGAACGAGCCUGUUAACCAUUACACCAACGGGUCCUCCUCCUGUCCAUGCGAAAUUCUUUCGAUCUUAUGUAUCGUUGUUGAUAGCAGAUCUGCGGGUUCAAGUCCCGUCCGAGUCACAUUUGUGUUUAGAUUUUAAUUAAUUUUCUCUUUGUGAGUUUCCCUAAACACGAGUGAGUGCUAUUAAAACAAAACUCUAUAUGUAUGAUUUUACACAAAUGAGGUAGACUUCCGUAGUCUAAUUAUCGACCUUUGACUUAUAAAGUACACAGCUUCAAAAGUUAAUUAGAUACCAUCAACAGUAGACGGCUGAUUGCUGACAGAAAAUUUAUUAUUCUUAAUUACAGAUAAGCAAAUUGAACGCUCCAGUGAUUAAUUCAUUCCGUUCACACUUUGAAGGGCUUGUCCGUCGGGAGUCGAGGGCCUUAAUAGGGGAAAAACUUGAUCGUAUUUCGGCCGUCACCCUUCGUUAGCCAUAUAAUUUCAAAACUUCGCGGCAAACUGAAAAAGUUACUUAAUACUUUUUGUUAAUUUCUCUUUAAGGCCAUGAAUGCGUUAUACUGACAGUAAAUUUGAAAAGUAAGGUUUAUCUAAGGUCGAUUGCUCAUUUAGUCGGAAGUAUUCAUUGAGUUUUUUGUAAUAAAACAGUUCACGGUUAACAGGGGAUUAAUAAGGCCACAUUGAAUUAAUUCAUCAAUAAAAGCAAUAUUGCUAUUUGACAUUAUUUGUUGAAAUUGCGGAAUUACUUUUAUACGCGCAAAUGUCAUACUAGGUAGGUAUCAGGAACAAAAUCUUCGUGUUUCUUAAUUUUAUCGUAGACAAUCACAUCUAAUUUCCCUUGUAUCAAUAAACCAGUGUUACUAGACAACCAACAGCGGGAAAAGACCGCGAAUGAUUAUAUUCAUAAUCAUUUCAAAGAUGCUCACAAUGGGCGUCCAGUAAAAUUACAUAGUUUAAGCCCAUUACAGAUACAAAGACACUGUAAAACGGUUAAAUAACAGAAAGAUUUUUUUUGUACUCACAACCAUAAAAAUGUUGCUGUUCUGUAGCAUUCCGUAAGAAAAAUUAAAAGCUUCUUUAAACAAAAGCCGGCAACGUCGGGAACGUAAUUAAAUGCGACGUCCCGCGGGAAAUCCGCGGUGGACAGGGCCACACUCAGGCGGGGCCGCAUUAUACCAACUAUCAUAAUACCACGGAAUAGAAGACAGAGUUUGGAAGGGUCAGGUGAGCGCGAAAAGUAGUAGUUCAACUUCAACUUUGCACUCCACUCGUCCACAAACUUUACGACCCAUGGAGCUCCGCGAAAAUGUAUUAAAGGGUCGUCUUGCGUAUUAUGACCUGCAGGGCAAUAAGUCAAAUAUCGACUGUGACAAGGACAUCCCUCCUUAUCACAGGAAAGCUAAAAACUUCAGUAUGAUCGGCUGUUUCUGAAAAAAAUACUUUUGUAUGCAGUGUCUUACGAAAAGUUAUUAUAAAAUUGCAGCCCUUUACAUAAAAUAUAUAUUGCUAUGGAAUUAUAAAUGACCAUGGAAUUUGAGUAGUAGACCUAACGUAGUUAUCUGUUUGCAGAAGUAUUAGUAAAAGAGAGUAGGGUUGAACCAGCGACAGCGGUUCUCACAGAAAAUACGCGUUAGGGCCUUUCUAUCUUAUUUCUUGUAUUCCGUGCAUAAUACACACACACUCACACAUACAUACUUACAUUAAGAUUACACCCGACAUAUCCCUUCACACCACUUUCGCACACAACGCAUAACAUAAAAUACUUUAUAAAAUAUAUGCAUACUAACGUUCCAUCUCACCCGCGAUCAGCCGAUCUCAUCCGCGUGGAUUUCGAUUUUGGUCUCUGAAAAAUAUGCCUAUUGUCAUCCAAAUCGGUCCAGCUGCUUAGAAAACAAUUUCGUAUUCAGUGGUAAAUUUAGGGCCAGACAUGCCAAAUCACCGAACUCUUAUAUGAUGUGUAAUAACUUGUAAUACAAUAACUACAUAACAUUUUGUAUCCACAUUAAAUAUGUGGGACAUCGUUAGUUUAGUCUGACUUCAUGUUCCCAUUGAUAAAAAGUUUUAAGCCACACAGCUGUGACUAGUGAUGUGCCGUUGUUCCUAAAGUGGGUAAGUUCCUGUUAAAAAACUCUUCUUUUACAGGAAAAAACAAUUCGACUGAAACAAACUCAUAUUAGACAAAACUAUUAUUGUUAUUUUUCUUUAACUUGAACAAUAGCGAAAUGCCACAUCUGUGAAUUUGGCCACCGAACAGCUGUACAGUCCUGUAUUCGCAACGUAAGACCGGUUUGUUGAUGAGCGACUACAUGUAGCAGCCUACUACUGAAGGUCAAUGUAUGAUUUCUGUUUGGUACCUACCUGUUUUCUAUUAUAAUUAAGUAAGCACCUCGGUGAAUGGUAAAGAUUUCUUUUGUGUAAGUUCUUUAAAUGUAAUAAUGUAAAAGCGUGGCGUAUGCCGAAGAAGAAGGCAUCGAGACAAACCUGUUUAGGUUUAGCGAUGUUUGUAAACCAAUCUAUGUGUAAUUUAUGAAGUGUUAUAAAUAAAAAAAAGGUUAAUGUCCGGAUUGCCCUGGGCCAAGGCGUUAAGCAUCCACAUCGCGCGAGUAACCGGCGAGUACCAACCUCGAUUGGUUCUCGACAGUGGGACUUUAAACAUUUGCGGUAGUAUGAGUGACCCUAUCCUAAAGACAAAGCUAAAGCUCUUUUACAUAAAUUUUGCGCCUUCUUACUGCCGUAAAAUGUACCCAAAGGAACUUUCCUUAGGAUGCGACAAACAAUACAAUUAUAAAUCAUAUUGGAAUUUAAAUCGACUUCGCUUCGCCUAAGUUUUAAACUGACAGCCAAUAUAAAAGCGAUAGAGCGUCGGACAUAACUUAUUUAUUACGAUGUACGAUAACCAUAGAUCUGGAAGAUCGCCAACUGGGUGUUCAGCACACUUUAUUUGUUUCUAUUGCUUCAGUUUAACAUUGCCAAGGCUUUGGUGGACAGCCUGCAUUUAUGCUCUCUUAGAUUACAAUCAGUAUAUCGCACUUAGGUAUAUAUGGUGAUAAUUACGUCACACAUCAACACGCUUGGUGUUGUAUAGUAUUGUGUAUACAUUCUAUAUAUACAAAUAAUACAUUAUUACCAAUAUAAUAUUUAUCAUAUAUAAACAUAAAUAAAAUAAAAUAUAUAUUUUUUUAUUA